UGGCGGACGGGUGAGUAACACAUCGGAACGUACCCAGUUGUGGGGGAUAGCCCGGCGAAAGCCGGAUUAAUACCGCAUACGACCUGAGGGUGAAAGUGGGGGAUCGCAAGACCUCACGCAGUUGGAGCGGCCGAUGGCGGAUUAGCUAGUUGGUGAGGUAAAAGCCUACCAAGGCGACGAUCUGUAGCGGGUCUGAGAGGAUGAUCCGCCACACUGGAACUGAGACACGGUCCAGACUCCUACGGGAGGCAGCAGAGGGGAAUUUUGGACAAUGGGGGCAACCCUGAUCCAGCCAUGCCGCGUGAGUGAAGAAGGCCUUCGGGUUGUAAAGCUCUUUCGGCCGGGAAGAAAUCGCAUGGGCUAAUACCCUGUGUGGAUGACGGUACCGGAAUAAGAAGCACCGGCUAACUACGUGCCAGCAGCCGCGGUAAU
This 432-nucleotide ribosomal RNA is filed under the name uncultured bacterium. RNAcentral's name for it is "bacterial SSU rRNA". It matches the Rfam family "Bacterial small subunit ribosomal RNA", at positions 96 to 524 of the family's 1533-position model. The record is from RNAcentral.